UUAGUCACUUUGCUCUGCUUUUCCCUCUCAUCGCCUCUGUAUCUUCAUUAUAUACUUUACAAAAGAGAGCAAAUUCUUAACUUUUUUGGGACCAGAGGAAUUGGAGAAGACGCAAUGGUAAAUUAAACAUUUCCAGAUGCCAUCAUGAUAAGAUUUAUCCAACUACCAAAAAGGUUCAGCAUUCUUACUUUAUUGUAAAGGAAAUAGAACAAAGCUUCAGAUGACGAUAAAAAAGAUAAGGAACCACUUCAUUACAAAACCAGCUAACGUUUUGAUAUAGAUCAUAUUUAUACGUAAAACCCAAGUCAUUCCUCUAACGGUGUUUGCGCUUUUCAGGACCAAUAAUCUUGCCAUCUUGGCAAGCCAUUCGGGCUUGUAUGAGUUGUGCAAUUGCCAAUCCAAACAACACUCCAGGAGUAAAUCCUAUAGCCACUGCUUUCCAGUUCAACACCUCUCCUGCUUCUUCCUCUUGGUCUCCUUUUGAAAAAUCUUAGUUGCGGAUAUCUCGUAUAUAUGCGCAUCCUUAUCUGCCUACCUUGUAUAUAUGCGCAAUUUACUUGAGAUAAUAUUUACACAACGUAAAGAAGAAGAAAAUGUGUCCAUCCCAUGAGAAGCAAGUCUAGUUUAUAAAUUAAAUAUAAUAGGGAAAUAUCCUUUUUAGCAAUACGUUAAGCGCCUUUUGGCUAUAUGUUGUAUCGUAAGCUACGUACGAAGAAGAAAGAAGAUCAAAAAUUCAUUCAAUCAAAUAAACUAAACUUUUUCGACCCUAAUUUUACUCUUCCUAACUCUUUUAGUAUCUCGUUUCUUCUCCCAAAGAGAAAGUAAUUGUGUCUCUCAUCUAUCAACCAUGAACAACUUCUUCGGCAUGUCAAAAGGAAAACAUGCAUCAGCUAGAGAGAAUGAGUUAUCAUUGUACGGAUUUGGAAAUCAUGGCUUAAAGAUAAAGCAAGAUCGUGUUAGAAGAAUGGUUCGAUGCGCCGGAAUAUGGCACAACACACAACUGUAAGCGACUUGUCCUUAACUUGUUCUUUACUACUCUCUCUACUCUCCUCUUUUCUUUUACUUAAAGCAUUAAAGUGAAGUAAAGAAUUGAUGCGAAGUAAGUAAUGUGAAGUAAAGAAUAAAGUUUGUGUAUUAAUAUGAAGUAAAGUAUAAAAAAUAAAAUAUGUGAAGAAAGAAAUAUGCUAUAUAUGUAAUAUUCCUUAAGAGAUGUACUAUAAAUACGAAACCUUGGUGAAGAUAAAUCUUCAUAAGUUUGAGUGUCUAAAAUCAGUCCUUUGUAAUCCUUUGAGUGUUUAAUAAAAUAAAGUUUCCACUAAAUUUGAAUCGAUUCAUUUGUUUUGUUUCGAACCCAAUUCUUGAAGUUUCAGUUUUUUACUUUCAAAUUCCUCUGUUCGGAUCCAGUUAUGGCCGUUUCGUUGUUGAUUUGUUUCUCUCUUUCCCAAAAAUUUUCGUUUUCUUCUUCUUUGUAAACGUCAUCAAUAAACACAAACACACACAAGCCUAGCUCCUAUAUUAACACAUACAAAUUUCUAUAUAAUCACAAACACAAGUCUCUAUACAGUAUACAUAAACACUAAUACACAAGAUGAACAACGCACAAGGGAAGUCAGUUUUGAUUUUUUUUUGCUUCACAUCCUAAAAACAAAAAAAAGUUAUACCUUGUAAAAAAAUUCCAUAAAAGUAUGUCCCUCUAAUUUCUAAUAAUUUAUAUGUGAAAUUAAUUUCGUUUUUUUUUUCUUUUCAAAUGAAAGUAUUUGGUUCCAAGACGCCAUCUAAUCAUGCGAUUAAAAAGUAUAGAGUCACCAUUGUUUGAGAUUAUGAGAAUUUCUGAGUUGAGGAAACCGAUAAUCUACGUGAACUUCUUACUAAUAUUGGCGUUGCCUUAACAAUACUAGUUCAUCGUCUAUUCAUCCAUGAUAAUCCAAUAGGGUUCGACAAAUGCAAAAAAAAGUAAUUUUGAAGCUGUUAACAUUCUGACUAAUAGUGGAUUUUGUUUAGGAUACAUAUAAAAGGACAUCCUCUUUUCAUGUUGUUCCAAAACCAUAUACCAUUUAUCUAUGUCUUAAGAAGGGACUUGAUUCUCGCCUUCCAUGAUUUUCUUUCUAAUCUCAUAGAUUUGAAGAUUAAAUCAAAUAUUUUCUUUCAUGCUAUAAUCAAAUCUUUUCUCAAGACAUAGGGAAAUGGUAUAUGGUUUUGGAACAACAUGAAAAUAGGAUGUCCUUUUAUAGGUAGUCCAAACAGAAUCUACUCUUAUUCAUAAUAUUAAUAGCUGCAAAAUUACUUCUUUUGCAUUUGCCGAAUCCCAUUAGAAUACCAUGGAUGAACAGACGAUGAUCUAGUGUUUUUAAGGCAACACCAAUAUUAGUAAACAAUUGAUGUAGAUUAUCGGUUUCUUUGACCCAGAGAUUCUCAAAAUCCCAAAAAAUGGUAAUUCCAUAAUCUUUAAUUGUAUGAUUAAGAUAACGACUUGGAACCAUAUGCUUUCAUUUGAAGAGAGAAAAAAAAACGAAAUUACUAUCACAAUAAAUUAUUAGAAAUUAGAGGGACAUAAUUUUAUGGACUUUUCUUACAUGGUAUAACUUCUUUUCUUACCUUGUGUGUUGUUCAUCCUGUGCAUUUGUGUUUUAUGUAUAGAGAGACUUGUGUUUAUAAAUAUAGAAGCUAGGCUUGUGUCUGUUUGUGUUUCUCAAUGACAUUUAUAUAGAAGUAAAAAAAAAACUAAAAAUUUUUGGAAAGAGAGAAACAAAUCAAAAUUAAAACGACCAUAAUUGAAUUCAAAACUAGCAGCGGAGGGAUUCAAAAGUAAAAACUGAAACGUCAAGAAUUAGGUUUGAAACAAAACAAAUGAAUUGAUUCAAAUUUAGUGGAGAAUCUCGUGCUCUCUUCCGGUGGACGAAAUCAUUUGGAGGCAAGCAAUGAGAAUAGGAUUCCCUUGUCAUAUGUUGCACAUUUUCACAAACAGUCACCCACGGUGUGUCGUGAUUCAUUGUGAAAAUAAUUGACUCGCUAGUGACUUGUAUUGUUUAUCACCAGUAAGACGUACAUAUAUGUCUUUAUUCAAGUUUCAUGUUUAGUCGAUCCAUCUUGCUUUUAACAAGAUCGACAAGAUAGAAUAUGAAUCUGUUUUAAGUAAUAUGAAUCUGUGUAAGCCGAGACCUUCUAGUCAUUAUCAAUGACAUUCCGGUUUUAAGUAACCGAGAAAAUUUGAUGUUGGUAGAAUUGUUGCCUGCCCGCUAUUGGACUCUAUCGACGUUAGUAAGUGUGGUUUUUGCUAAUGUUGCAUUUAAGAUCUCUCAAUGGCUGUUAAAGGUAGGCAUAUGGUUUGUACAACUAACUAAGGAUUUUGUUUAUUCUCCUCUCCGAUUGUGUCUUUUGGAAGGGCUAGUAAUGGCAAUUAAAGCUUUGUGCAAGACAACACCUUCUCCAAGUGUCCUUUCAGGUUCUUGGUUUUCAAGACUCUUGUCUUGUCCAACGUGUAACCACCCUUUCCAGGGAUCUUUGGCACACGUACGGAAUCCAAACACCGCAUUCUUUCUUUUACAACGUUUGCGGCAACGGUUAUCACAGUGGCUGACUAUGUGGCAGUGGUCGGUUAUCCUUCACCUCGAGUGGCCUCACUUUGUUGGGCACCUCUUUAUCUUUGGGACUUGUUGUCCCUUUUAUUUAUCUUAUCACUUUUAUGGUAUCAAGUCAAGCCUUAAAGCUUGUUUGUUGUACUUCUCAACAUUAUUGUUUGUAGUU
Camelina sativa (false flax) is the source of this 3744-nucleotide long non-coding RNA. RefSeq lists it as uncharacterized. Lineage: Eukaryota; Viridiplantae; Streptophyta; Magnoliopsida; Brassicales; Brassicaceae. The record is from RefSeq and is a predicted model, not a curated record.